This 203-nucleotide unclassified non-coding RNA is filed under the name uncultured fungus. RNAcentral's name for it is "sequence contains ITS2". Lineage: Eukaryota; Fungi. The record is from RNAcentral.
AAUUCUCAAACCUCUUUGGCUUUAUUGGUCAAAAAGGCUUUGGAUGUGGGAGUUGCUGGAACUAGCCUUUCAGCUCUUCUUAAAUGUAUUAGCGGGUUACUGAUCUCCGCUACUUGGUGUUGAUAGUCUAUCUUACACCUUGUAGUUGGUUCAACUUAUGUAGCUGCUUCUAAUCGUCGACUUGGUUGACAAAUUACUUGACU